UACAGAGGGUGCAAGCGUUGUUCGGAAUUAUUGGGCGUAAAGGGAGUGUAGGCGGUGAGUUAAGUCUUCUGUGAAAUCUACGGGCUUAGCCUGUAACGUGCAGAGGAAACUGGCUGACUUGAGUAUCGGAGAGGGCAGGGGAAUACCCAGUGUAGAGGUGAAAUUCGUAGAGAUUGGGUGGAACACCAGUGGCGAAGGCGCCUGCCUGGCUGAUGACUGACGCUGAGACUCGAAAGCAUGGGGAG
This 245-nucleotide ribosomal RNA is filed under the name uncultured Pseudomonadota bacterium. RNAcentral describes it as "uncultured proteobacterium partial 16S ribosomal RNA". It matches the Rfam family "Bacterial small subunit ribosomal RNA", at positions 524 to 768 of the family's 1533-position model. The record is from RNAcentral. Lineage: Bacteria; Pseudomonadati; Pseudomonadota.